CCUACGGGUGGCAGCAGUGAGGGAUAUUGGUCAAUGGGGGGAACCCUGAACCAGCAACGCCGCGUGAGGGAAGACGGUUUUCGGAUUGUAAACCUCUGUCCUCUGUGAAGAUAAUGACGGUAGCAGAGGAGGAAGCUCCGGAUAACUACGUGCCAGCAGCCGCGGGAAUACGUAGGGAGCCAGCGUUGUCCGGAUUUACUGGGUGUAAAGGGUGCGUAUGCGGACCUUUAAGUCAGAAGUGAAAUCCAUGGGCUGAACCCGUGAACUGCUUUUGAAACUGUAGGGCUUGAGUGAAGUAGAGGCAGGCGGAAUUCCCGGUGUAGCGGUGAAAUGCGUAGAGAUCGGGAGGAACACCAGUGGCGAAGGCAGCCUGCUGGGCUUUAACUGACGCUGAAGCACGAAAGCGUGGGUAGCAAACAGGAUUAGAUACCUUUGUAGUC
Molecule: ribosomal RNA, 440 nt
Filed under: uncultured bacterium
Lineage: Bacteria
Description: partial 16S ribosomal RNA
Rfam family: Bacterial small subunit ribosomal RNA
Source: RNAcentral